RNAcentral lists this ribosomal RNA (468 nucleotides) under uncultured bacterium. RNAcentral describes it as "partial 16S ribosomal RNA". It matches the Rfam family "Bacterial small subunit ribosomal RNA", at positions 28 to 507 of the family's 1533-position model. The record is from RNAcentral.
GACGAACGCUGGCGGCGUGCUUAACACAUGCAAGUCGAACGGAAAGGCCCUGCUUUUGUGGGGUGCUCGAGUGGCGAACGGGUGAGUAACACGUGAGUAACCUGCCCUUGACUUUGGGAUAACUUCAGGAAACUGGGGCUAAUACCGGAUAGGAGCUCCUGCUGCCUGGUGGGGGUUGGAAAGGUUCGGCGGUUGGGGAUGGACUCGCGGCUUAUCAGCUUGUUGGUGGGGUAGUGGCUUACCAAGGCUUUGACGGGUAGCCGGCCUGAGAGGGUGACCGGCCACAUUGGGACUGAGCUACGGCCCAGACUCCUACGGGAGGCAGCAGUGGGGAAUAUUGCACAAUGGGCGGACGCCUGAUGCAGCAACGCCGCGUGCGGGAUGACGGCCUUCGGGUUGUAACCCGCUUUCGCCUGUGACGAAGCGUGAGUGACGGUAAUGGGUAAAGAAGCACCGGCUAACUACGUG